RNAcentral lists this ribosomal RNA (1343 nucleotides) under uncultured bacterium. RNAcentral's name for it is "16S ribosomal RNA". It matches the Rfam family "Bacterial small subunit ribosomal RNA", at positions 28 to 1378 of the family's 1533-position model. The record is from RNAcentral.
GACGAACGCUGGCGGCGUGCUUAACACAUGCAAGUCGAACGGAAAGGCCCUGCUUUUGUGGGGUGCUCGAGUGGCGAACGGGUGAGUAACACGUGAGUAACCUGCCCUUGACUUUGGGAUAACUUCAGGAAACUGGGGCUAAUACCGGAUAGGAGCUCCUGCUGCAUGGUGGGGGUUGGAAAGUUUCGGCGGUUGGGGAUGGACUCGCGGCUUAUCAGCUUGUUGGUGGGGUAGUGGCUUACCAAGGCUUUGACGGGUAGCCGGCCUGAGAGGGUGACCGGCCACAUUGGGACUGAGAUACGGCCCGGACUCCUACGGGAGGCAGCAGUGGGGAAUAUUGCACAAUGGGCGGAAGCCUGAUGCAGCAACGCCGCGUGCGGGAUGACGGCCUUCGGGUUGUAAACCGCUUUCGCCUGUGACGAAGCGUGAGUGACGGUAAUGGGUAAAGAAGCACCGGCUAACUACGUGCCAGCAGCCGCGGUGAUACGUAGGGUGCGAGCGUUGCCCGGAUUUAUUGGGCGUAAAGGGCUCGUAGGUGGUUGAUCGCGUCGGAAGUGUAAUCUUGGGGCUUAACCCUGAGCGUGCUUUCGAUACGAGUUGACUUGAGGGAGGUAGGGGAGAAUGGAAUUCCUGGUGGAGCGGUGGAAUGCGCAGAUAUCAGGAGGAACACCAGUGGCGAAGGCGGUUCUCUGGGCCUUUCCUGACGCUGAGGAGCGAAAGCGUGGGGAGCGAACAGGCUUAGAUACCCUGGUAGUCCACGCUGUAAACGGUGGGUACUAGGUGUGGGGUCCAUUCCACGGGUUCCGUGCCGUAGCUAACGCUUUAAGUACCCCGCCUGGGGAGUACGGCCGCAAGGCUAAAACUCAAAGGAAUUGACGGGGCCCCGCACAAGCGGCGGAGCAUGCGGAUUAAUUCGAUGCAACGCGUAGAACCUUACCUGGGUUUGACAUGGAUCGGGAGUGCUCAGAGAUGGGUGUGCCUCUUUUGGGGUCGGUUCACAGGUGGUGCAUGGCUGUCGUCAGCUCGUGUCGUGAGAUGUUGGGUUAAGUCCCGCAACGAGCGCAACCCUUGUUCACUGUUGCCAGCACGUUAUGGUGGGGACUCAGUGGAGACCGCCGGGGUCAACUCGGAGGAAGGUGGGGAUGACGUCAAGUCAUCAUGCCCCUUAUGUCCAGGGCUUCACGCAUGCUACAAUGGCUGGUACAGAGAGUGGCGAGCCUGUGAGGGUGAGCGAAUCUCGGAAAGCCGGUCUCAGUUCGGAUUGGGGUCUGCAACUCGACCUCAUGAAGUCGGAGUCGCUAGUAAUCGCAGAUCAGCAACGCUGCGGUGAAUACGUUCCCGGG